CAAGUCGUGGGGCUGCGCGGGUAGCAAUACCUGGCGGCGACCGGCAAACGGGUGCGGAACACGUACGCAACCUUCCUUUAAGCGGGGAAUAGCCCGGGGAAACUUGGAUUAAUACCCCAUAAGAUUAUGGUGUGGCAUCACACAGUAAUUAAAGCUCCGGCACUUAAAGAUGGGCGCGCGGCUGAUUAGGUAGUUGGCGGGGUAAUAGCCCACCAAGCCUACGAUCAGUAACUGGUGUGAGAGCACGACCAGUCACACGGGCACUGAGACACGGGCCCGACUCCUACGGGAGGCAGCAGUAAGGAAUAUUGGUCAAUGGACGCAAGUCUGAACCAGCCAUGCCGCGUGGAGGAUGAAGGCCCUCUGGGUUGUAAACUUCUUUUAUUUGGGAAGAAACCGGACUUUUCUAAGGCCGUUGACGGUACCAGAUGAAUAAGCACCGGCUAACUCCGUGCCAGCAGCCGCGGUAAUACGGAGGGUGCAAGCGUUAUCCGGAUUCACUGGGUUUAAAGGGUGCGUAGGUGGGCAGGUAAGUCAGUGGUGAAAUCUCUGGGCUUAACCCAGAAACUGCCGUUGAUACUAUCUGUCUUGAAUGUAGUGGAGGUGAGCGGAAUAUGUCAUGUAGCGGUGAAAUGCUUAGAUAUGACAUAGAACACCCAUUGCGAAGGCAGCUCGCUACACUAUUAUUGACACUGAGGCACGAAAGCGUGGGGAUCAAACAGGAUUAGAUACCCUGGUAGUCCACGCCCUAAACAAUGGAUACUCGACAUCAGCGAUACACUGUUGGUGUCUGAGCGAAAGCAUUAAGUAUCCCACCUGGGAAGUACGACCGCAAGGUUGAAACUCAAAGGAAUUGACGGGGGGUCCGCACAAGCGGUGGAGCAUGUGG
RNAcentral lists this ribosomal RNA (889 nucleotides) under uncultured Sphingobacteriia bacterium. RNAcentral describes it as "bacterial SSU rRNA". It matches the Rfam family "Bacterial small subunit ribosomal RNA", at positions 58 to 944 of the family's 1533-position model. Lineage: Bacteria; Pseudomonadati; Bacteroidota; Sphingobacteriia. The record is from RNAcentral.